Molecule: ribosomal RNA, 368 nt
Filed under: uncultured organism
Description: bacterial SSU rRNA
Rfam family: Bacterial small subunit ribosomal RNA
Source: RNAcentral
CGAAGGAUCCUAGCGUUGUCCGGAUUUACUGGAUUUAAAGGGUGCGUAGGCGGACUAAUAAGUCAGUGGUGAAAGCCGGUAGCUUAACUAUCGAAUUGCCAUUGAAACUGCUAGUCUCGAGUACGGUUGAGGUGGCUGGAAUGUAUCAUGUAGCGGUGAAAUGCUUAGAUAUGAUACAGAACACCAAUUGCGAAGGCAGGUCACUAAACCGUAACUGACGCUGAGGCACGAAAGCGUGGGGAGCAAACAGGAUUAGAUACCCUGGUAGUCCACGCCCUAAACGUUGAUAACUCGCUGUUGGCGAUAUACAGUCAGCGGCUAAGCGAAAGCGGUAAGUUAUCCACCUGGGGAGUACGGCCGCAAGGUUG